This 282-nucleotide unclassified non-coding RNA is filed under the name plant metagenome. RNAcentral's name for it is "partial contains small subunit ribosomal RNA, internal transcribed spacer 1, and 5.8S ribosomal RNA". The stretch from base 235 to 282 matches the Rfam family "5.8S ribosomal RNA", at positions 1 to 49 of the family's 154-position model. The record is from RNAcentral.
UUUCCGUAGGUGAACCUGCGGAAGGAUCAUUAUUGUAUAACCGAGGUGCGAGGGCUGUCGCUGACCCGAAAGGUCGUGCACGCCCGAGUGCCCUCACACACAUCCAUCUCACCCCUAUGUGCACCACCGCGUGGGUCCCCCUUUGGCUUGUUCGGAGGGGGGCUUACGUUUUCACACAAACUUUGUAUGCAGUGUAGAAUGUAUUUUUUGUUUUUGCGAUCACGCAAUCAAUACAACUCUCAACAACGGAUCUCUUGGCUCUCGCAUCGAUGAGAACGCAGC